CGCAAGCCUGACGGAGCAAGACCGCGUGGGGGAGGAAUGCCUUAGGGUUGUAAACCCCUUUUAUCUGGGAAGAAGCUCUGACGGUACCUGAGGAAUCAGCCUCGGCUAACUCCGUGCCAGCAGCCGCGGUAAUACGGAGGAGGCAAGCGUUAUCCGGAAUGAUUGGGCGUAAAGCGUCCGCAGGUGGCAAUGUAAGUCUGCUGUCAAAACCCAGGGCUCAACUCUGGUCAGGCAGUGGAAACUACAUAGCUAGAGUGCGGUAGGGGCAAAGGGAAUUCCCGGUGUAGCGGUGAAAUGCGUAGAGAUCGGGAAGAACAUCGGUGGCGAAAGCGCUUUGCUAGACCGAAACUGACACUCAGGGACGAAAGCUAGGGGAGCG
Molecule: ribosomal RNA, 379 nt
Filed under: uncultured cyanobacterium
Lineage: Bacteria; Bacillati; Cyanobacteriota
Description: bacterial SSU rRNA
Rfam family: Bacterial small subunit ribosomal RNA
Source: RNAcentral